RNAcentral lists this ribosomal RNA (400 nucleotides) under uncultured bacterium. RNAcentral describes it as "bacterial SSU rRNA". It matches the Rfam family "Bacterial small subunit ribosomal RNA", at positions 360 to 776 of the family's 1533-position model. The record is from RNAcentral.
AAUUUUGCGCAAUGGGGGAAACCCUGACGCAGCAACGCCGCGUGUGUGAUGACGCCCCUCGGGGUGUAAAGCACUGUCAGUGGGGACGAAACUUGACGGUACCCACAAAGGAAGCACCGGCUAACUCCGUGCCAGCAGCCGCGGUAAUACGGAGGGUGCAAGCGUUGUCCGGAAUCAUUGGGCGUAAAGCGUUCGUAGGCGGCAUAUUAAGUCUGGUGUUAAAGCCCGGAGCUCAACUCCGGUUCGGCACUGGAUACUGGUAAGCUAGAAUGAGGUAGAGGUAAGGGGAAUUCCUGGUGUAGCGGUGAAAUGCGUAGAUAUCAGGAGGAACAUCGGUGGCGAAAGCGCCUUGCUGGACCUUAAUUGACGCUGAGGAACGAAAGCCGGGGGAGCAAAUGGG